UACGUAGGGUGCAAGCGUUGUCCGGAAUUAUUGGGCGUAAAGAGCUCGUAGGCGGUCUGUCGCGUCGGAUGUGAAAAUCCAGGGCUCAACCCUGGACCUGCAUUCGAUACGGGCAGACUAGAGUUCGGCAGGGGAGACUGGAAUUCCUGGUGUAGCGGUGAAAUGCGCAGAUAUCAGGAGGAGCACCGGUGGCGAAGGCGGGUCUCUGGGCCGAAACUGACGCUGAGGAGCGAAAGCGUGGGGAGCAAACAGG
Molecule: ribosomal RNA, 253 nt
Filed under: uncultured bacterium
Lineage: Bacteria
Description: partial 16S ribosomal RNA
Rfam family: Bacterial small subunit ribosomal RNA
Source: RNAcentral